Small nucleolar RNA from Perognathus longimembris pacificus (Pacific pocket mouse), 104 nucleotides. RefSeq annotates it as small nucleolar RNA U13. Lineage: Eukaryota; Metazoa; Chordata; Mammalia; Rodentia; Heteromyidae. The transcript has a single exon. The record is from RefSeq and is a predicted model, not a curated record.
ACCCUUUUCCAGUUUAUAAGCAUAAUUAUUGGGUUCUCACCUGCUUGUGUGACCUCUGCCUCUCUCUAAUCUUGUUACAAUAUGAGCACAUUACCUGUCUGAUG